ACAUACUUUACAAAAACAGUAAUUUGACAAUAUAUUUUGCUGUGGAAAGUGUGUUUCUUUCUUACAGCUUCCUAUACAAUCUUGUCUAAACUCACGAUGAAGAUGAACUUGCUGUUCUCGCUAACAAUGAUUGCACUGUUUUCCAAGGCCAGUUACAAGAAAAUAAAUAGUUUGGGCUGCAUUGGCACUUAUGCUUUCUGUCAUUUAGCUCAGAAUAUGAAAAAGUAGAGAUCCACAAGAAAACAUUUUAUAAUGUUUUGCCUGCACAUCAACCUUGAAAUUAGCUGCAAAAAUAAUGCACACUUCUACAUAACUCCUUUAUUUUAGGUAUGGCAAGGCAAGAUUCUUGAGACCCAAUUUACAUUUUUUAAGGGCUCUUUAGGACUAGUUACUUAUUUAAUGCAACUGAAAUUACCAAAUACCACACCUGUUAUGUAUUACAUAAUUUCUAAAGUAUAGCCCUGCAUUUCCUUUGAAAGGAGCAAGACAUGGAAAAAUUACAUUAAAGAAUGAUGUGUCAGCCAUGUAAUUUUCCCUUAAGAUAUAAAUGAUUCAAAGGGGCUGAUUCUUGCUGCUGUGUUACUCAGUGAACAACAAUACAGCCUGAUAUAAAGCAAUGUUUUGCUUUAUGUUGCUUAAUAUUCUUCUUGACUGAGUGACACUGCAUUGUAUCAGGAUAAAAAGACCAGAAUCAUAUCCAUGGUACCUCAAACAUUAGAAUAAUUAAUAAGUGAUUUUUACCAUUGAAAGGUCCAGUUCUGGCACAGCCAAAUAAGGUUUGCUCAAUACGAGACUAGUCUGAAAGACAGGAAAUGUAGUUACCAAAUCCAUGACAUAGGACAACAGCUAAAACUUAUUUGAUAGAAAAAGGAACUUACAAAAUCCAAGACAAUAAAAUAAGGCAGUGGUCUCUCCAUGGUUUAUUGAAGUUUGGAAAUAUGUAUCCUAGGAGAUGAACUUGCCUCAUAAUUUUGCAACUCUCAUUCAAAGCUGGUAUUUUGCAUUUCAAGGAGUAUUGUUACUCGAAAUGAAAAGGUGAAACUUAAAUGAACAUUUUCAAUUUUUUAUGUUUUGUGAUGUGUGAACAAAAGCUCAAACUUUAUAUUUGUAAUUUUUUUGUUAUUAUUUUUUCAUCUUUUACACCCAAAUCCAGAUACCGUCUGGACUAUGGCACUCCUGAGUUGUCUUGUUUACUUGUUCUUGAGUAACAGAUGCUGUUGACUGACUGAGAAGGAUCAGUAAGGAGUAACUGAAGAGUUAGGCCUGACUUUGUUAGCCAGCAUGAGAUGAGCCUAUAUAUGGUGGCUGGCAAUGGGGAGAGGGACUGACUUACCCAGGCUGCUGUCACCUGCCUGUCACUUUCCUCCAACUGGAAGUUUUUGUCCCCAUCCCUACCCCCAGCUUCCAGCAGAGCUGAAUGUCUCGUUACUCAUUAACAUUAUUCUGUCAAAAUGAUCUGAGUAAGUUUAAAUACUUCAUAGUGAGGGAUUUAAAAAAAAAAUUACAAAUCCCUGGAUCGGUAUUGACAGAACUGGGUUAGAGGAGAUGCCAGCAGAUGGCAAGGUGCAGCCUUUUUGCCCAGGAUGGGCGGUGGGGCCUGAAUUCCUCAAGGUUACCACUGACGCCCAAUCAGCCACAACCAGAGAAGUUCCUCUGACCUGACUUUCUUUAAAUCCAGCUUCACUUUCAGUGCAUUUUUCAGUUAAGAAAUGUGUAAUGUGACAACAGCAUCAGUGAAAUAGCAACAUCACAACAUCUGAAGGAACAAGUAAUCCCACGAAAAGGAGGAAUCUUUUAGCUGUAGUUUCCAGAUGUUGGGGUGGGGGAUGAGUUUGUAACGUCUUUAUUGCCUGUCACUAACUUGCCUUUGGAAGUCACAACUGCUGCUAAAGACUUGGUGCCUUUUCACCUUCGCUGAAAGUGUUAGAAACUUGCAGCAGAGUUCUUCACACCUCCCUGUAGCUGCUCCCGAGCCACAGGAGGAUCUUUCUCAGGAUGUCAGUCUGUGUUACAAAGAUAAUAUCAGUUCAAGGAGUCCUGCCUCCUCCUAUGUGCCUCUUCUGCUCGUCUCUCAUUCCUACCCCUACACCACAAUGUUUCAGCCUCCCCAGGGUUACAGGUAACCUAGAUCCUUUCAGCAAUCCAUCUUCUCACAGGGCCCCACCAAUAGCUCUGUGAGUAUUGCUGGGGAGGCAGCAAACUGCUGUGGUGAAAGAGAAGCACAGGUUUUUUAAGCUGGUUUUGCUGCUGAAGCCAGUGACAAGUGAAGCAACCACUGACACAAUAAUUUCUCAAAUUAUUCUAGGAUAAAUAUGUUAAGAUGUUCUAUAAAUUAUUUGGAAGACUGCAGAUGACUGGGCACAGGUAGGACAUUUUGUUCAACUUUUUUAGGACAAAUAGUCUGAAAAUAUUCACAUUUAUUAUGCUUCUCACUAUGAUAAAACAAGAGCACACAAAUUUUAUCUUUGUCUUUAAGAGGCAGAGUGUAUGGCAGUAUCAUGUACUAAAUCUAAUUAUUUUAGCCACUUGCAUUUUAAAUUUUCUAUUUAGAAGCAUAAGAACUAAGGCAUUGGCUUAAUAUUACAGCUUUUGUAAAAAAACUGAUCUUAAAGCCCAGCUGUUUUGACCCUGAUCAAGAAUGUGAGGACCAUUGUAACAUUGUUCAUUGAUGAAAGUCACGUCAUUUUGUUUCAAGAAUUUUAAAACCUGUAUCAUCUGAGCAACAGUGAGUUCUUUUGUAUUGUUUCUUCCUGUAUUCCUGAAGCUCCCAGUCAUUUGAGAACACCAAUAACAUGAGCAACAAUCAUAGUUUAACUGGCCAAGCACUGAUUUACAAUAUUCUUUGUAGGCAGAUUACUAACAGGCAACAGUCCAAAAUUCUUCAAUGACCUUAAAAAUGUUUCCAAAAACAUGUUACUGAUUUUAACAGUGACUAUGCAAUACGUAGUAAACAUGAAUGCAAAAGGUUAAGAGAUCAACAAAGAGUUCUCAGCAGCACAAAAUUAGCACAGGAGGCAAUGGCAAAAGUCUAAGGUUAAACUGUUCAGUUAAAGCCAGAACGGAAAUUGGGGCAAGAAAAAGAAAACAUGGUGUCAUAAACAUGAUGAAAUCUCUGUGCUAGGAAGAUGACUCACAAUGCGGUUGUAAAACCUGGGUACAAAAAGUUCUUAUAGAUUCUAGAAAGUAAGGCAGAGUUGAUAAUCGUGUCAUGUUUUCACCACAGAUAAAUCUAUUUCCCGUUUUGAUAAAAAGGUCAGGCAGAUCGAAUGCAAUCAGAUAAAGCACAUGGUAAGUCACAUACUCAAAGUGCUCACUUUAAUUAGUUAUGAAAUGUAAUAAUGUGUCAAUGAGCCCUCUUCAGGUUAGGGAGAGGAGGAGUUUUGAAGUAUUUAGGCACGCAGGAAAGAAAAGUGCAGAGUUUUACGUGAAAAGGAAAGCACGUUGUUUUAACUUGCUUACAUCUAGAAUACACCAACUGAUUAAAACAGCUGAGGAAAGUGUCAAGAUCAUCUUUGUAGUUUCAAAUGAGGAAAAUACAAAUGUGAGAAACGUUCUAAACUUUAAGCACAAACAUUCCCGUGGAAAUAAUUUGUGGUGACUCAACAACUUGUAACAUCAGAUCUUUAAAAGUGUUUGUUAUCUUUCAUUAUUUUGCAUCUGUGUUGCAGGUUCUCCUACAGCAAAGCAACAAGCUGCUACAUGUCCCUUUUAACUGUGGGUACAUACAGUCCUCCUCUUUGCUUCUAGAGAAAAAGAAAGAACCUUUCAGAUGUGGGCAGUUUACUGUCUGCAAUAUAUAAAACUGCAGUUUCCUUACAUUUUGGUGCAAUCUCUGUCCUUAUUCUGUGUUCAGUGAAUAGUUUGUGAAGUAGAAAAACAUCCUCUUCUCCUCAUUUCUGUUGAUUUUGUGUCUUGGGAUUUGGACAGGAAAAAGGGCUUCAGUUUAGAGCCAGUCAGAGUUAGCAACUAAGGGUUUCAAGAAUGCAGACUAAGCAAUUACCACAGAAAUGUCCAGAGCAGCUAGUUUGAACGUGGGUCCAAGAUUUUCCAAAAUUUUGCUUAGAGCAGUGGUUCUGGUUACAGCUAACUCUAAUAAUCACAGUUAAUACUGACCUUCCUCAUGAAGGUUUGCAGCAUCUGGACAGGAAGAAUCCUGAUUUCUGCUGAGGACUUUCAGGCAACACAGUAACAGACAAAUGCGAAUGCUAAUACUGCUGUCACUUACAGGGAGUUUAUCACUGUAGAACAGAUUGACCUGUGUUGUCAGAAUUUUCCUUAAAAAUGCAACAAAAAGGUAAAUUCAGAUCUCAAAUCUAAUUACUUGGUUUCUGGCAGUGGCUCAGACGCAAUAAAUGUUUUUAAAUGCAUACAUGUGUGAAAUAAAGCGUGCCAAAAUCCUGUAUAAUUAAGCCAGUGAGGAGCGGGGAGCAUUGCAACCCUUCUGACCUUCUGCUGGUCAGGUACGGAUGGGGCUCUGCACGGAGACACAAGAAAAGGAUUUUAUUUUGCAGUCUGGUGAAGCAGUUGCAGUCUUUCAAAAUACAGAAAUUUGAAUCACUGUAGCCUGCGAAGAGCUCUGCAUUUUGUGACACAAGAAAGAGCCAAUAAACUGCAUCCUCUGUACAAACCAGGCUCUGGAACAACAGUGUUUGCUGGCAUGAGAAUGCACCUCUUUGGGUAAAAAGUGAGACUUGUGAAACUUUUGCCUCCAAUACCACAAUAUUUACUAUUCUUUGGAAGUUAUCUUGCUUUUUAAAUGUUCAAGUUUUCUUUCUUUAAACAUUUUCACCUUCAAGAGUUAGCUUUAAAUUUCUUCGAAGUGGCCUGUAUCUGCAAUGAUUUUAAGUGACUUGGAGAAGAUCUGAUAAAACAACUAGACUGAGGAAGUUGUCUAGUUUGUUUUGGGGGCUAUUUGACAAACUCUGUUUUAUAAAGUAACUCUUCUCUGCAAGACAGGAUGUAUUUUUACAGAUUAGGUACAUUAAGCUGAUUUCUACAUUACUUUUCCACUGUAGUUUAUAACUCUCAAGGAGUAGAAAUUAGAGACUGUGUGGAAGAUGCUGUUGGACUUUAAAUUAUCUGUGUCUGAGGAAGGAAGCUGGUUAGAAACUAGUGUUCUAGUUGUUUUUGCAUAUAGAUAGGUAAGGACAGGUAAGACUGGAGGUGUCUGUCACUACUGAUGAUGUGCAUGGUGGCGUGCCACAGUAACAGAAGCUGGGUUUAAAGUUCCUCCCGUUGCCAGUGCUUGGUGGCUCUGGAGGCUGGGCUGUUGUUUUGGAAUAGUUGCUUGAACCAUUCAUUCAACUCUGUCUCUGAUAAAGAAUAUGCUCCAUAUUUGUGCUACUUUACUGAUACAUACCUCUGUAAAUUAAAGCUUUUUCUUAAAGAAA
Molecule: long non-coding RNA, 5390 nt
Organism: Columba livia (rock pigeon)
Lineage: Eukaryota; Metazoa; Chordata; Aves; Columbiformes; Columbidae
Exons: 2
Source: RefSeq, a predicted model, not a curated record